RNAcentral lists this ribosomal RNA (468 nucleotides) under uncultured bacterium. RNAcentral's name for it is "partial 16S ribosomal RNA". It matches the Rfam family "Bacterial small subunit ribosomal RNA", at positions 28 to 507 of the family's 1533-position model. The record is from RNAcentral.
GACGAACGCUGGCGGCGUGCUUAACACAUGCAAGUCGAACGGAAAGGCCCUGCUUUUGUGGGGUGCUCGAGUGGCGAACGGGUGAGUAGCACGUGAGUAACCUGCCCUUGACUUUGGGAUAACUUCAGGAAACUGGGGCUAAUACCGGAUAGGAGCUCCUGCUGCAUGGUGGGGGUUGGAAAGUUUCGGCGGUUGGGGAUGGACUCGCGGCUUAUCAGCUUGUUGGUGGGGUAGUGGCUUACCAAGGCUUUGACGGGUAGCCGGCCUGAGAGGGUGACCGGCCACAUUGGGACUGAGAUACGGCCCAGACUCCUACGGGAGGCAGCAGUGGGGAAUAUUGCACAAUGGGCGGAAGCCUGAUGCAGCAACGCCGCGUGCUGGAUGACGGCCUUCGGGUUGUAAACCGCUUUCGCCUGUGACGAAGCGUGAGUGACGGUAAUGGGUAAAGAAGCACCGGCUAACUACGUG